Molecule: transfer RNA, 75 nt
Filed under: Bacteroidia bacterium
Lineage: Bacteria; Pseudomonadati; Bacteroidota; Bacteroidia
Description: tRNA-Pro
Rfam family: tRNA
About the family: Transfer RNA (tRNA) molecules are approximately 80 nucleotides in length.
Source: RNAcentral
CGGGAUGUAGCUCAGUCCGGUAGAGUACGCGUCUGGGGGGCGUGUGGUCGCAAGUUCGAAUCUUGUCAUCCCGAC